GCCCUUGGUGGGAGGAUGACAGAGCUGCAGUCGGCACUGCUACUGUGAAGACAGCUGGCAGAACUCAGCAAAAAUCCAGUGGAAGGCUUUUCUGCAGAUUUAAUAGAUGACAAUGAUCUCUACCGAUGGGAAGUCCCUUAUUGGCCCUUCAGAUACACUUUAUGAAGGUGGUGUUUUUAAGGCUCAUCUCACUUUCCCAAAAGAUUAUCCCCUCCGGCCUCCUAAAAUGAAAUUCAUUACAGAAAUCUGGCAUCCAAAUGUUGCUAAAAAUGGUGAUGUGUGCAUUUCUAUUCUUCAUGAGCCUGGGGAAGAUAAGCAUGGUUAUGAAAAGCCAGAAGAACGCUGGCUCCCUAUCCACACUGUGGAAACCAUCACGAUUAGUGUCAUUUCUAUGCUGGCAGACCCUAAUGGAGACUCACCUGCUAAUGUUGAUGCUGCGAGAGAAUGGAGGGAAGAUAGAAAUGGAGAAUUUAAAAGAAAAACUGUCCUCUGUGUCAGAAAAAGCCAAGAGACUGCUUUUGAGUGACAUUUAUUUAGCAGCUAGUAACUUCACUUAUUUCAGGGUCUCCAACUGAGAAACAUGGCACUGUUUUUCCUGCACUCCGCCCACCUAUUGCUGGACUUCUGUUGUACAAGUUGGCAAACACUGGCUGGAGCUGGGCUGCAAUAAAACAUGCCAGUUACCAGUGCUGACAAGAGCUGAACAAGUGCCAACUCAGAUGAUUACGCAUUUUGAAUUCUAAUGAACUGUUUUAACCUUCAGGAAGAAUUGUAAAGACCUGUACAUAGCACAACAUGAUCCGGAUAAUAUAUACACUGUUCAUGCACAUCCAUAGAUACACCUUGUACCAAAUAAUGCUUUCUUGUAGUAGAGUAAGAAUCGUGUACAUUCUACAAGAUUUUAGCAGGUUUUCUUUCCUAUUCAUUGUUUCUUAUCAGUUUAAAAGGACUCCUUUAAGCAUGCCGGAUGAAAAGCAAUUAGGAUUAAAAGUUUCCAUUUAAUUUCCCUUAAACCAUUGAGGCUUCAUUAAACUCUCUUCAAUUACUAAA
RNA transcript from Sapajus apella (tufted capuchin), 1050 nucleotides. It is a transcript of the gene named ubiquitin-conjugating enzyme E2 G1-like, with no coding region annotated. NCBI's taxonomy places the organism in Eukaryota, Metazoa, Chordata, Mammalia, Primates, Cebidae. The record is from RefSeq and is a predicted model, not a curated record. The transcript has a single exon.